This 401-nucleotide ribosomal RNA is filed under the name uncultured Comamonas sp. RNAcentral's name for it is "bacterial SSU rRNA". It matches the Rfam family "Bacterial small subunit ribosomal RNA", at positions 975 to 1375 of the family's 1533-position model. The record is from RNAcentral. Lineage: Bacteria; Pseudomonadati; Pseudomonadota; Betaproteobacteria; Burkholderiales; Comamonadaceae.
CCACUCUUGACAUGGCAGAAACAUUCCAGAGAUGGUAUUGUGCUCGAAAGAGGACAUGAACACAGGUGCUGCAUGGCUGUCGUCAGCUCGUGUCGUGAGAUGUUGGGUUAAGUCCCGCAACGAGCGCAACCCUUGUCAUUAGUUGCUACCAUUCAGUUGAGCACUCUAAUGNGACUGCCGGUGAUAAACCGGAGGAAGGUGGGGAUGACGUCAAGUCCUCAUGGCCCUUAURGGURGGGCUACACACGUAAUACAAUGGCUCGUACAAAGGGUUGCCAACCCGCGAGGGGGAGCUAAUCCCAUAAAGCGCGUCGUAGUCCGGAUCGCAGUCUGCAACUCGACUCCGUGAAGUCGGAAUCGCUAGUAAUCGUGGAUCAGAAUGUCRCGGUGAAUACGUUCCC